UCCCUGGUGGCUCAGAUGUUAAAGCGUCUACCUGGAAUGUAGGAGACUCGGGUUCGAUCCCUGGGUUGGGAA
Molecule: transfer RNA, 72 nt
Organism: Ovis aries (sheep)
Lineage: Eukaryota; Metazoa; Chordata; Mammalia; Artiodactyla; Bovidae
Rfam family: tRNA
About the family: Transfer RNA (tRNA) molecules are approximately 80 nucleotides in length.
Source: Rfam